This 503-nucleotide ribosomal RNA is filed under the name Firmicutes bacterium TH-G1. RNAcentral's name for it is "bacterial SSU rRNA". It matches the Rfam family "Bacterial small subunit ribosomal RNA", at positions 33 to 504 of the family's 1533-position model. The record is from RNAcentral. Lineage: Bacteria; Bacillati; Bacillota.
ACGCUGGCGGCGUGCCUAAUACAUGCAAGUCGAGCGCAGGAAAUCGACGGAACCCUUCGGGGGGAAGUCGACGGAAUGAGCGGCGGACGGGUGAGUAACACGUAAAGAACCUGCCCUCAGGUCUGGGAUAACCACGAGAAAUCGGGGCUAAUACCGGAUGGGUCAUCGGACCGCAUGGUCCGAGGAUGAAAGGCGCUUCGGCGUCGCCUGGGGAUGGCUUUGCGGUGCAUUAGCUAGUUGGUGGGGUAAUGGCCCACCAAGGCGACGAUGCAUAGCCGACCUGAGAGGGUGAUCGGCCACACUGGGACUGAGACACGGCCCAGACUCCUACGGGAGGCAGCAGUAGGGAAUCUUCCACAAUGGACGAAAGUCUGAUGGAGCAACGCCGCGUGAACGAUGAAGGCCUUCGGGUCGUAAAGUUCUGUUGUAAGGGAAGAACAAGUGCCGCAGGCCAAUGCCUGCACCUUUGACGCGUACCUUGCCAGAAAGCCACGGCUAACUAC